GACGAACGCUGGCGGCGUGCUUAACACACGCAAGUCGAACGCUGAAGCUUGGUGCUUGCACUGGGUGGAUGAGUGGCGAACGGGUGAGUAAUACGUGAGUAACCUGCCCUUGACUCUGGGAUAAGCCUGGGAAACUGGGUCUAAUACUGGAUACGACAUGUCACCGCAUGGUGGUGUGUGGAAAGGGUUUUACUGGUUUUGGAUGGGCUCACGGCCUAUCAGCUUGUUGGUGGGGUAAUGGCUCACCAAGGCGACGACGGGUAGCCGGCCUGAGAGGGUGACCGGCCACACUGGGACUGAGACACGGCCCAGACUCCUACGGGAGGCAGCAGUGGGGAAUAUUGCACAAUGGGCGGAAGCCUGAUGCAGCGACGCCGCGUGAGGGAUGACGGCCUUCGGGUUGUAAACCUCUUUCAGCACGGAAGAAGCGAAAGUGACGGUACGUGCAGAAGAAGCGCCGGCUAACUACGUG
RNAcentral lists this ribosomal RNA (472 nucleotides) under uncultured bacterium. RNAcentral's name for it is "partial 16S ribosomal RNA". It matches the Rfam family "Bacterial small subunit ribosomal RNA", at positions 28 to 507 of the family's 1533-position model. The record is from RNAcentral.